GUAGACAGUUGCCUGUAAUUUAGUUGUCCCACAUCAAAGUUGUGCUGUGAUAUCUCUUUACUGUUUCUUCAAAACUUCAAAAGCCUGCUUAGCCUUGUUCAGGGACAACUCAGAUGUGUAUGGGAUGUUAGCAUCCCAGAUACAACCCCUGAGCAAUAGGUUAUCAGAGUUGGUGGACAAAUGUUCUGCCUCCUUGUGCUCUGAUGGGACAAUUCUGAGGCACAUUCUAAUAGCUCUUCGGAGGAUAUCAGAAGGAGUUGAGCACCAGUUGCCCAAUGAGGCUGUCAGCCUGUCCUCUUUUAUUCAUUUAUUUUUCUGUGGCUGACACUAUUGAUUGCAGUUCAGGUUUCAUGGAAAGCAGCUUCCAAGAUGGGGAUAGCACGCUGGAAAUUUACUGAAGAAUGCCUUUGGGAUCAACCACUGUAGAAGGGAAGGGAAGGAAGCAGGAUCAGACAGCAGUAGAAGUUGGGCUGGAAUGCAGCAAGGUGCCUCUGAAGCCCCAGCUCAGCCACUAGUUGGCUGUGUGAUCUCAGACAAGCCAAGCUCCAUCUCUGAGAUAUAGCUGCUUCAUUUGCAAAGUAAGAAGGUAGACGUGCAUGAUCAGCUGAAGAUGCUUCCUGCCUCAAUCCAGGACACCUGCGGCUCCAGGUCAGAGAUGCACCUGCUAGUCCUGCCUCUACAGGACCCAACCCAUCAGUUCCUAGCUUGUCCUUCUGGUGAGAAUUGAGCACACUAUACUGUGGACAUAAAGACAAAAACCAGCAAGAAACUGAGCUCGGCUCCCUGGCUCACAUAGACAUGGAACAGAGAUCACAUCUGUGAGUGGAGGAGCCAGACUUUUCAUAUAAGCACAUGUAAAACUUUUGAAGUUGGCUGAUCCAAGAAUAGAUUCAAAUUCUUCAGCCAAGAGUCUAGACCAACUGACUUUUUCCACUUCAUUGCCUAGGCUACAGGUGGCCAACUGUCUUGGCCCCCUAGGACUCACCUCUGUCUGUACCAGGUUGACCCUUUGGGCCCGGAGCUCACGCACGCAGUUGAAGAUGUCCACCACCCCUUCAUUCUCGGCCAUGUCAAGCAUGGUGUCAAUGGCAAUGAAGCAGCCAGUCCGCCCAGCCCCAGCACUGGAAGAGAGCAAAUGGGUUGACGGAUGGAAGCAAAGAAGGAGAGGAGAGAGAACAGAGGGGAGAUGAAUGACAGGACAGAAACGAGAGUCCUCUGAGCUGUCCCCAAGACAGAGAGUGGUUGGUGGAGCACCACGUUCAAAGGCCGGCAUCUGGCUCCACCUGCAGCUGUUUUCGCAGGAUCGUGAAGCAAGAGUGUCAUGAAACUGGAGCAGCUGACCGUCCGGAGACCCUUGUCAGGGAUCAAGUUUCUUGAUACAUACUUACUUGAUUUCUGGUCACUAGUGGCUUCUUUAGGAGAAUCUCAGACCAAGUAUAAAAUGGUAGGGGAACUCAACGAGACUCUAUGGGCCUUGGCCAGCCCUUUCUAGAUCAGUGCUGGGCUCUGAAACAUCAGUGCUGACCAAGAGGCACGUAAGACAUGUGCCUUACACAUGUGCAGUUUUGGAUGGGAAGGCCGGGCAGCCUGUCAAGGAGGCCCCCUUCCGCUGCGUUUUCACAUCUUGCCUUUCUCAUGGAAACAAGUGUCUUUGUCUAACAAUGUAGAUGUCAAAAGACACACAAAGAGGAAGAGAGAUGGAACAAGACAAAAAAGCAAUAUUGGCUCAUGGUAAAUCCAAGGGGCACAGGCCAGUGCGGACCACUACCUACAACAAUUUGGAAAGUACACCCAUUGGAAGCAGAGUCUUCAUUCAUGAGAAACUUUCAUGGUUUGAAUGAAGUCUGACUUAAGUUUGCUUCAGAACCUACUCCCCAAAAUCCAGAUGCGGGGACUCAAGAGACUUGGCCUCUGUGUCUGGGAGGGAGUAUAGGGGGGGUCACUCGUGUUUUUUUCUUCAAUGUUCAUAUUCACCAUGCUUUAGUAUAAAGAAUCAGCCCAAUUUGGUUCCAAAUUUUGGAACAACUAUCAAUCAAUCAGCGGUGACCAAGUUGCCUAGUGUCCGUUUGUUUGUUAGCUUCAGAUUUCUGAUGCUUUUAACAUACCUCCCUGCAGGGUCCUUGUGAGGACAAAGCUGUGUUUAUUUCAUUUCAGCAUCACAUAGUAAUUGAACACAGGAUAUUUGAAAAGACCCCCUAGGAUUAAAUCCUGGCUCUAUUACUUAUUAGCUGCAUGACCUCGGGCAAAUGACUUAACCUCUCUGGGUUUCAAUACUCAUCUAUAAAAUGAUGUUGAUAAUAAUUAAAAUACUCACUCAUCUAUAAAAUGAUGUUGAUAAUAAUUAAUAGAUCCACCUCACAGCAUUAAUAGCACAAUAUGUAUAAAUUGGAUGAAAUUACAAUUAAAAUGCAUAAUGCAUACAAAUUGCUUUGUGCCUGGAUACAUAGCCAUUUUUUAUUGAGAAAUUAUUACUAUUAUAUUCAACAAAUAUUUAUUGAAAAUCUAAGAUGCAGUAGAUGCUGGUAUUAGGAGUGGGAAUAUGAAAACAAACAAACAUUGUUCCUGUCCUGAAGGAUUAAUAAAUAAUCUGGGGAGGGGGAGAAAGAAAACAUUAAGAGGAGGCAGAGAAUAAUGAUAUAUUAGAGUGCUUACUAUAUGUCAGGCAUUCUCUCUUAGGCACUUAGCCAACCCAUUUGGUAAUAAUUUUCAGAAUGGCCCCAGGAGUGGGUACCACUCUGCUCAGAUGCAUUAAGAUGACCUGCUAAGGAGACACAUACCGGCGUAGAGCCAUCAUGCGCCGAAGUCCUGAUGAUAAACAAACAUUUGCCAUUGUCUUUCUUUCUUUCUCCCUAACCCUUGAUCUGGGUGCUCUUUGGGAUAUAGAGAUGGGGGGCAUUAAUGAUCCAUUGCCCUUUGAUUGCUAUGAGAUAUAAAGCAAAGCAGAAAAUACAUGCAAAACAUUUAGAGAGUCCAGGAUUACCUCCUCAUCCUCACUUGCCUUAUCUGUGAAAUGGGGUUGUGUAGCUACUAUUGCUGGGAAG
RNAcentral lists this long non-coding RNA (3041 nucleotides) under Homo sapiens (human). RNAcentral describes it as "HSALNT0267412". The record is from RNAcentral. Lineage: Eukaryota; Metazoa; Chordata; Mammalia; Primates; Hominidae.